This 594-nucleotide long non-coding RNA is filed under the name Marmota monax (woodchuck). The record is from RNAcentral. Lineage: Eukaryota; Metazoa; Chordata; Mammalia; Rodentia; Sciuridae.
GACACAAACAAAGUGCCCCCAAACAGGCUGGAGUGAGCCGAGCGGCAACGGCGGCGGCGCCGGCCCGCACGCGCGCGGCGGCGGCUCCCUCCCAACCUUCCCCUCCCCUUCCCUCACUCCCCUUCCCCUUCCCCACCCCGCCCCGCCGGGAAAACGCGAGCCGUCGCCGCGCUCCCCAAACCGCCGCCUGCCCUCGGCCAACCGCCCCAACGGCCGCCCGCGCGCGGCUACCCGCGCCCCCUCGCUCCUCCCCUUAGGCCCCUCCGGGAGCCGGAGGUGCUUUCCUCGUCUCCGCCUCGCGCUCUCCCACCUCGCAGGCACGCCGGUGGGCUCUGCCGCCAUGCCCCAGCCACAGGCUGCUCACGGGCCUAGGCGCGGCGGCCCGAGAUAGGGUGCCCUGAGCCUCCCGGGGGAGGAGAGGGAGCCAGCCGCGCGCUCCGCCCCCUCCCCCCGGGCUGUCGCCGCCACCGCCACCGCCGCCGCCACCUCGCCGCCUCAGCCUGGCGGGGAGGAGCAGCAGCAGGCCUCCGGGCCCCGGCACCGCCGCCCGCAGGUAAUGGGGAAGGGAAGGCGAACGGGGGGAUGACUAGCCAC